AUGCAAUGUGUCUUUUGUCAGCAUGCUGAGACAAUAAAACAUUUGUUCUUUCAAUGUAAAUUGGCUCGUUCUAUAUGGUCAGUCAUCCAAAUAGCUUUUGGCUUGUACCCUCCUUGUAGUGUUGCUAAUAUAUUUGGCAAUUGGUUACAUGGGAUCGAACACAAGUUUAGAACUCUUCUCAGGGUGGGAGCGCUCGCUGUUAUUUGGUUGCUUUGGCUAUGUAGAAAUGAUAAGGUUUUUAAUGAGAAAAGUACAUAUCUUAUGCAGGUUAUCUACAGAUGUACUGGGACACUUUGUUUAUGGUCGUCUCUACAGCGUAUGGAGAAUCACGGUCUCUUUAUGGAGGUCUGUACAUGA
Molecule: ribosomal RNA, 357 nt
Filed under: Triticum aestivum (bread wheat)
Lineage: Eukaryota; Viridiplantae; Streptophyta; Magnoliopsida; Poales; Poaceae
Description: partial small subunit ribosomal RNA
Source: RNAcentral